GGGCGAGUGGUGGAAUUGGUAGACACGCUAGGUUCAGGGUCUAGUGCUCAUUGCAGCGUGGGGGUUCGAGUCCCCCCUCGCCCA
RNAcentral lists this transfer RNA (84 nucleotides) under Thermoleophilia bacterium. RNAcentral's name for it is "tRNA-Leu". It matches the Rfam family "tRNA". Rfam says of the family: Transfer RNA (tRNA) molecules are approximately 80 nucleotides in length. Their secondary structure includes four short double-helical elements and three loops (D, anti-codon, and T loops). Further hydrogen bonds mediate the characteristic L-shaped molecular structure. tRNAs have two regions of fundamental functional importance: the anti-codon, which is responsible for specific mRNA codon recognition, and the 3' end, to which the tRNAs corresponding amino acid is attached (by aminoacyl-tRNA synthetases). tRNAs cope with the degeneracy of the genetic code in two manners: having more than one tRNA (with a specific anti-codon) for a particular amino acid; and 'wobble' base-pairing, i.e. permitting non-standard base-pairing at the 3rd anti-codon position. RNAcentral also lists the same sequence under 2 other names. The record is from RNAcentral. Lineage: Bacteria; Bacillati; Actinomycetota; Thermoleophilia.